CUCAGGAUGAACGCUAGCGGCGCGCUUAAUGCAUGCAAGUCGAGCGAUGAGGUCCUGCUUGCAGGACACAUCAGCGGCAGACGGGUGAGUAACACGUAAGUGACCUACCCCGAAGACGAGGAUAACGGGUGGAAACAUCCGCUAAUACUGGAUAGACUCUGGGGGUCGCACCGCAGAGUAAAGCUUCGGCGCUUCAGGAGGGGCUUGCGGCCUAUCAGCUAGUUGGUAGGGUAACGGCCUACCGAGGCAAAGACGGGUAGGGGGUGUGAGAGCACGACCCCCCACAAUGGCACUGAGACACGGGCCAUACUCCUACGGGAGGCAGCAGCAGGGAAUAUUGCACAAUGGACGGAAGUCUGAUGCAGCGACGCCGCGUGGAUGAUGAAGGCCCUCGGGUCGUAAAAUCCUUUUCAGGGGGACGAGGCAGGACGGUACCCUUGGAAUAAGCGUCGGCUAACUACGUGCCAGCAGCCGCGGUAAGACGUAGGACGCAAGCGUUAUCCGGAUUUACUGGGCGUAAAGCGUCUGUAGGCGGAUGGGUAAGUUGGGCGUGAAAGCUCCGUGCUCAACGCGGAGAGGUCGUUCAAUACUGCCGAUCUGGAGGUCAUCAGAGGGGCGUGGAAUUUCCGGUGUAGCGGUAAAAUGCGCAGAUAUCGGAAGGAACACCAGUGGCGAAAGCGGCGCCCUGGGGUGGACCUGACGCUGAGAGACGAAAGCUAGGGGAGCGAACAGGAUUAGAGACCCUGGUAGUCCUAGCUACAAACGAUGGAUGCUAGGUGUGGGGUCGAGAAGACUCCGUGCCGGAGCCAACGCGAUAAGCAUCCCGCCUGGGGACUACGGCCGCAAGGCUGAAACUCAAACGAAUUGACGGGGCCCCGCACAAGCAGCGGAGCGUGUGGUUCAAUUCGAUGCUACACGAAGAACCUUACCUGGGUUUGACAUGGAGGUGGUAGGGAAGCGAAAGCGGACCGACCCUUCGGGGAGCCUUCACAGGUGCUGCAUGGCUGUCGUCAGCUCGUGCCGUGAGGUGUCGGGUUAAGUCCCGUAACGAGCGCAACCCUUGCCCUUAGUUACAAGUGUCUAAGGGGACUGCCGGCGGUAAGCCGGAGGAAGGUGGGGAUGACGUCAAGUCAGCAUGGCCCUUAUAUCCAGGGCUACACACACGCUACAAUGGUCGGUACAAAGGGCAGCGAAGCCGCGAGGUGAAGCGAAUCCCAUCAAAGCCGAUCGUAGUUCGGAUUGCAGGCUGCAACUCGCCUGCAUGAAGCUGGAGUUGCUAGUAACCGCGCGUCAGCCAUAGUGCGGUGAAUACGUUCCCGGGGCUUGUACACACCGCCCGUCACGUCAUGGGAGUCGGUAACGCCUGAAGCCGGUGGCUCAACUCGCAAGAGGGAGUGCCGUCUAAGGCGGGGCUGGCAACUGGGACGAAGUCG
RNAcentral lists this ribosomal RNA (1433 nucleotides) under uncultured organism. RNAcentral describes it as "bacterial SSU rRNA". It matches the Rfam family "Bacterial small subunit ribosomal RNA". The record is from RNAcentral.